CACAAGCGGUGGAUGAUGUGGUUAAUUCGAUGCAACGCGAAUAACCUUACCCACCUUGACAUGGCAGGAAUCCCGAAGAGAUUGGGAGUGCUCGAAAGAGAACCUGCACACAGGUGCUGCAUGGCUGUCGUCAGCUCGUGUCGUGAGAUGUUGGGUUAAGUCCCGCAACGAGCGCAACCCUUGCCAUUAGUUGCUACGAAAGGGCACUCUAAUGGGACUGCCGGUGACAAACCGGAGGAAGUGGGGAUGACGUCAAGUCCUCAUGGCCCUUAUAGGUGGGGCUACACACGUCAUACAAUGGCCGGUACAGAGGGUAGCCAACCCGCGAGGGGGGAGCCAAUCCCACAAAGCCGGUCGUAGUCCGGAUCGCAGUCUGCAACUCGACUGCGUGAAGUCGGAAUCGCUAGUAAUCGCGGAUCAGCAUGUCGCGGUGAAUACGUUCCCGGGUCUU
This 451-nucleotide ribosomal RNA is filed under the name uncultured Allobrachymonas sp. RNAcentral describes it as "bacterial SSU rRNA". It matches the Rfam family "Bacterial small subunit ribosomal RNA", at positions 924 to 1382 of the family's 1533-position model. The record is from RNAcentral. Lineage: Bacteria; Pseudomonadati; Pseudomonadota; Betaproteobacteria; Burkholderiales; Comamonadaceae.